GCCUGGGUGGCUCAGUCAGUUGAGCGUCUGACUUCAGCUCAGGUCAUGAUCUCAGUUUGUGAGUUCAAAUCCCGCGUUGGGCU
This 83-nucleotide transfer RNA is filed under the name Felis catus (domestic cat). It matches the Rfam family "tRNA". From Rfam's summary of the family: Transfer RNA (tRNA) molecules are approximately 80 nucleotides in length. Their secondary structure includes four short double-helical elements and three loops (D, anti-codon, and T loops). The record is from Rfam by way of RNAcentral. Lineage: Eukaryota; Metazoa; Chordata; Mammalia; Carnivora; Felidae.